This 35002-nucleotide long non-coding RNA is filed under the name Citrus maxima (pomelo). RNAcentral's name for it is "long non-coding RNA (CMAX_LNC000993)". The record is from RNAcentral. Lineage: Eukaryota; Viridiplantae; Streptophyta; Magnoliopsida; Sapindales; Rutaceae.
GAUUCACCACUUCAACAUUGUUCGGCUUCUAGGGUUUUGCUCUGAAGGAAACAGACGUGCUCUUAUUUACGAGUUUAUGCCCAACGGAUCACUUGAAAAAUUCAUCUUCUCAAAGACAAAUAGCUCAAGUCAUCGUCCAUUGAGUUGGGAGAAGCUGAGGAAGAUUGCAUUUGGCGUUGCCCGUGGAGUAGAGUACUUGCACCAAGGGUGCAGCCAAAGGAUCCUGCACUUCGAUAUCAAGCCUCACAAUAUAUUAUUAGACCAUAAUUUUCAACCGAAGAUUUUAGAUUUUGGACUGGCUAAGUUGUGCUCGAAGGACAUAAGCAUUGUAUCUAUGACAGCUGCCAGAGGCACUUCUGGCUACAUUGCACCUGAACUUUUCUCCAGGAAUUUUGGUGAGAUCUCAUACAAGUCUGAUGUUUACAGUUAUGGAAUGAUGCUGUUAGAGAUGGUCGGAUGCAGAAAAAAUAACGAUCCUGCGGUUGAAAUUCAUAGCCAAAUAUAUUUCCCAGAGUGGAUUUACAAUAGAAUGAGGCAAGGACAAGAGCUCUGUUUCGAUUUUGAGGAAUAUGUGGAUGAGGGAAUUGCCAGAAAGCUUGCAAUUGUGGCACUUUGGUGCAUUCAAUGGAAUCCCACGGAGAGACCUUCCAUGCCAAUUGUAUUACAAAUGCUUGAAGCUGAUUUACAAAGCUUGGAGAUCCCUCCAAUGCCCUUUGUUUCUGCUGAUGUUGAGGCAGGUGCAAUCAAUUGAUCUAGAUAGCAGAAGAUUACAAUUAAAAAGGGAUAUUGUUAAUUUGUUUCCAAUUUUCCCCGAUUAUAAGCUAAAUUAUUUAGUCCUUGUUAUUGGAACGCUUGAAAACCACUAAAUUGAGUUUUUGUUUGACUGUGGUUGUUUUAUUUAUCGCUUAAAAGCUUUGAUGUGUUCGAAUGAUACAACAUUAAUACAACUAUGGAUGAACUUUAGUCUAUUUUUAAACACAUCAUUGACAAAAAAUUAAGUAUAACUAUCGCUGAAAGAGCAUUCCUUUAUUGAUAGGCUUAUAGUUCCCAAAGAGGGUAGUUGGCAGAAACUCCUUGAGCUAGGUUGCUUUAGAAAAGGCUCGCAGGAUCGAGUAUUUAUAGAACGGAUGUGAUGUGUGCAGUCUUCAUUUCAACAUUUAAGUCUCACAACAUCCUGCUAGAUCCUAAUUCCUUCCCCAAGGUCUCAGAGUUCGGCCCUUGCAAAAUUUCAUCCCAAGGAAAAUGAUUUUGCUCCCAUCAGCGCCACAGGAGGAACAACAUAUAGGUUAAAAUAUUACCUGAGCUAUGACUAAGGCGCUGAUCGCUCCUCUGUGACAAAAAGUUUUGAAAAUUUUAGAAGGGAGUAUUGACGAUUUGCAAAUGCCUCCAAAACCUUUCUCAUCUUCUUCUCGACAUAUAUUUGGAAGAGAGAUUGAAUCAGAUUCUUCAACAGAGUUGUUAAUGUCUGAAUCAGUGAAGGAAUGAUCUUUCGGUGAUAUUUAGGUUUAAUUUUGCCAAUGAUGAAUGUAAAAUGAAUAAAUGAAUAACGUGCAGUUAAUGACAAAUGUUCUUCUUCUUCUCAUUGCUUUAUCUCGAAUUGGAGCCUAAGGCACACACGUUUUGCGAGUGAUAGAUAAUUUAGUUGUUGAAAUCUUUUGAGUUAAUACAACAAGUUUCAGAUUUGAAUAUGUCCAUAUGGGUGGCAAAAGAAUUUAACUAGAGGUGUGCUAAGCUUAACUUAAAACUCUGAGGUGGCCACUUGGGAUUGUAGCCCAGUGGUGAACCAUUGCCCUUAAAGUUAAGUAUGACUAUGAGGGCAAUAGUUUAAGUCCCCACGGACUCAAAAACUCCCUCAAUAUUAAGCAUAAUUGUGUGGAGAUUACUUAUAACAUAUUUCUCCCUUGCAAAAUGUGAGUGGAGUAGAGACAUCCCUCCCCUGUGAGGGGUAUUUGGCUAGACAUGUACUUCAUAGAAUAAAAAAUGUAAUAAUGUAAGUCCCAGGUAUAUAAUGACCUGCUAUCAUAGCAGUUGUAAAUAUCUUUAUGACUUGGCUGGGCUUGUACUUCAUAGAAUGAAAAAUGUAAUAAUAUAAGUCCCAGGUAUAUAAUAGUUAAAAAUGAUGAGUUUGUUUGUUUACUAAGAAAAUGAAAGGAAAAAUCAGAGAAACAGAGAAGAGAACUUGUAUUUUAUUCAUUGUAUAUUUCGAUUAGUUACACACGUUUAUAUACUAUGAUCUGGAAUCUUCUUCAUUCUGUUUAGACGUGCUAGAUUAGCUGAGCUAGUAACUGAAACUAACUUGCCACAUAAGCAGCCACGUCAGCAUGUAUAACAGACUCUGUUUAACUAACAAUAUUAAUCAGCAUGUGAUUAAUUAAUUAUCUUAACAAUAAUGACAUGCUAUCAUAGCAGUUGUAAAUAUCUCAAUGACCUGGUUGGGCUUGUACUUCAUAGAAUAAAAAAUGUAAUAAUAUAAGUCUCAGGUAUAUAAUGACCUGCUGUCAUAGCAGUUGUAAAUAUCUCUAUGACCUGCUAUCAUAGCAAUUGUAAAUAUCUCUGUGUAAUACAGUAACCUGAUCUUUAAUCAGUUCAAAAAAAAAACUCUGAGGUGUAAAUUUUCUUCAUUAUUUUACCCCCACAUUGAAAAGUAAUCACAAAAAAUCAGGUCAAUGGCUUCAUUUAGCUUAUUCUUUAUUAUUGUUUUAUGCAAAUGUCAUGGAGGACUACUCUCUUGUGGGGUUGCCAUUGACUUAAAUAAAAUGCUUUUAAGCCAUACAAAAAUGAAUGGCUAUCUUUAAUAUUACACUAAAAAACAUCUCUCUUUCUCUGUAAAUCCAUGUCACUUUUUCUGAGUUCAAUAAUCUUCUUCCUUCUCUUCCUUACACAGAAGCCAAAACUUCAUAAGGAAACAACGAUACAAAUAUUUAUGAACGUUGUCAACCAACAAAAUGAAACAUACCAUAUCAGAUUCCCCCUUUAGAAUCAAAUUUAAAUGAUUAAGAUUGCUUAUGAUAACACAUACCCUACUAAGUUUAUUUAAUAAAUGAUUACAAUUUACACACGCACUCUUUACAUUAUUAUACCCUUUAUUUGAACAACUAAAUGUACUUUAUAAUAACUACUAAUAUAACAUUGAAACAAAAACAAAUGUAAUAAAUAAAAUUAUCAUAUAUUUUAUAUAUCAAAGCAUGUUGUGUGUUCUCAUAAAAAAAAUGAAUUACUGUCUUCGAGUUUGUGGUGAGAAAUUAAAGUAGCGAGCGAAAGAUGUUGACUGGAUUGUUGCAUGCGUGGAAAUUGUUACAAAAUUUUUGUCUCAAUUUGAAGGUUUACUAAGAAAUUUCAGGUCAAGCUAGGGUCAUCAUCACCGACGCAAACUUGCAAUCAAAACGUUUACUAAGAGUUGACUGACUUGUAAGAGUGUCCGGUGUCCCCUCUCGCAUGGAUGCUAAAAGUCUUGCGCUCAAACAAAUUCAAUUAAUAUGCUCUUUUAAACCUUUUCAAUUUCCCCACCUUUGUUUAUUAUUAUUUUUAAAAUAAGAUAAUACUACUUUUGAACGAUUAAUUAUUGCUAUAUCAUCUUCAGCUAGUAGAAUCAGAUAGUUGAACGCUAUAAUAAAUUUACUAUAUGCAUGUGCUCCGUUGUUAAGUGAUGAUGUAAAUACGUAUCCAAAACUUUGAAAAUGCAACCUUCUGUUUAAUUUACUGAAAUUCAUUGUAUCUUGGGAUUGCAUUAACAAUGAGUGGGGAAGAAUCAUCAAUUCUCCCAACUCUUCUGUUUUGUCUAUUGAUCUAUCUACUCACCACUGAAAUUGAAGCAAGAGAAGUACUUCCACAAAUCUGUUCUUCUUCUUGUGGAGAUAUCAAAAACAUAAGUUACCCUUUUCGCCUAAAGGGAGAUCCAUCGGGAUGCGGUUAUCCUGAGUUCGAACUGUCUUGCCAGAGCAACCAAACCAUCCUAGAAUUUUUCAAUUCUAUAAAGUACUAUGUAAAGAGAAUUUCCUAUGACAAAAGCAAAAUCAGUGUUGUCGAUGUUAACUUAGCCAAUGGAAGCUGCAGCCUUUCACACACACCUUUUCCCAGAGAAAUCUUUCUCGACCGUUACGAUGGUCGCUAUUUUGAUGAUACCGAUCGGGUUUAUUCACUUGAUUAUAAUAAAUACCUGUAUGCCUAUUUCGUGAAUUGCUUGAGGAUCUCAUUGAUCAGGCUUUUGUAAAAGUUCCAUGUUUGAGUGGAGGAAAUCAGUCAAAUUUUUAUGUUAAUUACCAUGGCUCCUAUGUAUCGGACUUUUCAGAGUCAUGCUCGUUCGUUUCAAUGGUUCUUGUACAUAAUGGGAAUGUAGAAAAUCCUUCUUAUGAAGCCCUCCGAGAAUUGCUGGUGACAGGAUUCGAUCUUAGAUGGUCAGUUGGAUGUAGGAAUUGUUUUACAGCCCGUAGAGGAUACAUUAUUACUAUUAUAGCGGGAUAUUUUGAUUGCUUCCAUUAUAGCUCAAUUACAAACGGUAAGCUUAUGCUUAUAUGUGCAUACAAAUAAAUGGAGACCUUUUAUUUAUUAUUUUCAAUCUUAAUCUUUUAUGUAUUUAAGAAUUUGCGAACCAUCUCUAAAAGAGUAUGUUUACCAGUAUGACCCUUAAUCUCUGUUUCUUUUGAACUUCUGCAGUCUUUGCUGCAUGCCACGCCGCACCGGGAGUAUUCAAAAAAUUUACCUGCUACCAAGAACUUUUGACACGUAAUAAGCCUAUGCUUACAUAUUUUAAAUUCUGCGAUUGUGUUUCUUGGUGUUAAAUUGAUGGCAUCAUGUAAUUUGUUUAUUUAUUUUCCAAUCUUGUGCUAAAUAACUUUUUCUAAAUCAUCUCUGUGUAUGUAUUUAUAAAGCCUAAUCUUUUUUCCUCGGCUUGCAGUUUCCUACAAACUCCCGCCACUUUUCGACAGCCUCAAAUUGUCACUGUUAGGUAUGGUUUCCUGGCUGGAAUUCCUGUUCCUGUUAUUUCGAAUUCAGCUACUUACCUAGAAUUAAACUUUCUUGUUUCCAGCGGUGCAUUCGUGUAUGUUACAAUUACUAGGUUCAUACUUGGUUCAACAGUUUUACUUGUGUUCCUUAUCCACAAAUACAGAACAACAUUGAAAACAAUUGAUAAUAUUGAGAAAUUUAUGCGCAACCAGCAAUCAUGGAUGCCUAAAAGGUACUCUUACCCUGAGAUAAUUGCCAUGACAAACCACUUCGCUCAUAAAUUAGGCCAAGGUGGCUUUGGUUCAGUUUAUGAAGGACAACUUCAUACCGGUCGCUUGAUUGCUGUUAAGAUGUUGGAGAACUCCAAGCUCAGUGCGGAGGAAUUCAUCAACGAAGUUUCAACAAUAGGUAGAAUUCACCACGUUAAUGUGGUCCAGUUAUUGAGGUUCUGUUCUGAGGGAUCCAAAUGUCCACGUGUCUACGAGUUUAUGCCUAAUGGAUCACUAGAUAGGCAUAUCUUUCCUAAGGAAAGUAGAGGCCAAUCUUUUAGUUAGGAGAAACUCCACGAAGUUGCUUUAGGAACUGCUCGUGGGAUCGAGUAUUUACACAACGGAUGUGAUGUGUGCAUUCUGCAUUUUGACAUUAAGCCUCACAACAUCCUGCUAGAUCAUAAUUUCAUCCCAAAGGUCUCAGAUUUCGGCCCUGCAAAGUUUCAUCCCAAGGAAAAUGAUUUUGUGUCCAUCAGUGCCACAAGAGGAACCAUAUGAUACAUAGCACCUGAGCUGAUUUCAAGGAAUUUUGGAAUUGUUUCUUGCUGUUAAGGAAGCUCAUUGUGCUGAGCUUAUGAAGAAUAGAAAGGUGAAGAAGCCGUUAGUCUCAGCAAGUGAAGUUAGUUAAUCAUGCCAGCUCAGCAGUGCCAAGUCAUCAGAGUAAGUUAUGAAAUAACAAGUCAGGACAAGUUGUUAAAGUCUGUUAUUAAUAAAUCUUGUGUAUAUAACUAAUCUCGUGAGUAUAUAAGUUGUGAUUGAUUCAGUUGUAAAGUGAUUUGACAAAAGUCCAGAUUCAAUGAAAUAAAAUUUUUCUCUGCAACUUUUCUCUCAAAACAAACAGCUCAAGUUUUCUUUCAUGGUAUCAGAGCCACAAUGGCUAGUUCCAGUACAACUAAUCAAAAUCAUUCGAUUGUUCAUAAAACUCAAUCUACUCAAAUUUCGUUUACUUUUGCUACAACCGUCAAGCUUGAUCGAUCUAAUUUUCUUCUCUGGCGUAAGCAAGUUCUGACUUCAAUCAGAGGAAAUAGACUUGAAGGAUUUAUCUCAGAAAAUCAAAAUAUUCCAGAACAAUAUUUGUCUCAAGCUCGAACUGAUGGAUCUGUGGAGAGAACUGAGAAUCCAGCAUAUGUUAAUUGGAAAGCUCAGGAUCAGACUCUGCUUAGCUGGCUCUUUUCAACUAUAAGUGAAGGUAUUCUAAGCUCAGUUCUCAAUUAUGAUACUUCAUUUGAUGUCUGGAAAUCGAUUGAAAAGCAAUUUGGAGUCCAAUCUGAAGUAAAGGUAAUGCAACUUCGAUAUGAAUUGAAAAGAAUCAUUGUCGAUUGAAGAAUAUUGCUCAAAGAUGAAGAUACUUGCUGUUGAUGCGAGAUUCUGGUUACCCUCUCUACCUUGACCAGGAUCUCUCCUCAACCAACUCGACCACGAUCAAAAUAUCUCCUCGUAAGACUUCUUCUCUAGAGGCUCCUGCGUACACAGAAACAAGUCAGAGCAUGCCAGGUGUUUUCCCGGCGUAAACCCUCCGAUGCUCAAGUCAGAAAUGAAGGUUUCGUGUUCUUGGGAAAGUUAGCCACUGAUCUUAUGGCUUCUUUUUGGGUCUCAAUUAUUCAGAGCUCUCUUUAUCUUGAUUUCAAUGUCAAAAAAUCUAACACUUUUACCUUCGUUGGCUAUCUUUUUAUAGGCUUCUCUUGAGUUCAGACCUUCCCUCAAUCCACGCUCAUUACCUUCCCACCUCUCGGAAGUAGAUGCUCCGUUUCCGUAAUCGUGGGUGGUUGCAUGACCUUCGUGCCUUGAUUCUUGGGUUGGAGUGCACGUCUCACCAACUGUCGUUGACCGGGUUUCCUCGCCUCAACCCCUAGCAGGAAUGUCUUUAUGCUUUUAAUACGAGACCGGCCUCGCGGAUGGCGUAUUCGUGGUCGAGCAGAAUAUUCCUGCUCAUGUUCCCCAGCUAACAGACUCCUGCCAGAUAUACCUGCUCGUGAAACCCUGCUACUAAAUGUCUGCUCAUCACGGCUGGUCCUAUCGAAGUACAUCACCCAAACACCGGUCCCCUAGUUUCUGGUGUUGGGUAACAUAGUGAGCCGACAAUAGAAACUCAACAGUUCUGGCUCGCGCGGGAUAGGAAAAGGCUGCCAAGAGUCGUGUCGCAUUUAAUUGCGGAUGAGGUGAUGUGGCAGAAAUCUACCCUUCCGUUUGAAUUUCAAAUCGAUGGUUACGAAACUCUUGGGAUUUGUGCCGUUAAAUGCUGGCAGCCCAAGAGUUUGUUCCUCAUUAGGAAAACCCGAAACCCCCAAAAGAGAAACUCGUCAUUUACUCACUUCCUGUCUCUCCGGCGGAUGAGUAUCGGCAUAAAAGCUUCCAUCCCUAUCUUUCAUCCUUGUCUCUCUCCGACUGAGCCACAACUUCAGGUAUUAUUUCUACUUCCUCGGUCAUGGAUAGUUGUAGACAAUUUCUUUUCUCUCUGUUUUGUUUGGGUAGUGUUUGGUGAUAUUGUUCUAGUUAUAGUUUAGGGAAUGUCAAAAGGUAAAGAGAAGGUCAUUGAGAUUGACGACGAGGAGUUAGACUUCUUACCUAGUCUGCUCGCCGAUCCUGCCUUUGACCCCGGGAUCCCCUUAGAACCCAUUAGAUCUAGUGUUGGGACUAGUGCUAGGAGGAUGUUCCCCUAAAUAACCUCCUCAAGCAACAAUAAUGGCGACGAGGGAUUUUCUGGUUCGGAAGACACCCUGAGUGAGGAUCAGGGAGAUGAUUAUGGUGAAAUGUCUUCACCAGGAACAUCGCGACCAGAUAGGAGGGUCACAGUAGGAGGUAGAGCUCUAUCAGAGCAUUACGCUAUUGAUUUCAUCACAUGCACGACCACAGUAGAUGAGCUCACUAACCUCCGGGUUAGGUAUGGAAUUCCUGAUGAUAUUUCUCUUAAGAUCCUAGGAAAGAAAGAUACUCCUAGUCGGCCUCCUACGGGAUAUGUUACUCUAUUUCUGGAGGGUUUUAAACUUGGGCUGAGGUACCCCCUGCAACCCUAUUUUGCCCGAAUACUUAAUGGGUUAAAUUUAGCUCCUGGUCAGCUGAAUCCUAACGGGUGGAGAGUACUCUCUGGUCUGUUCAUAUUAUGGGAUAGAUGUUGCCAAAACGAGCCCACAGUUGAUGAGGUGAAGCACUUGUAUCAGCUAAAGAGUAGUCCCAAAGAUGCCGGCUGGUAUUACUUCCAAUCAAGUGCUAAGACCAGGAAACCCAUAACUGAUCUUCCAACUGGUGGUGGUGGGAAUUGGAAGAAAAAAUUCUUUUUUACUGGGGGUCCCUGGGGUCAAGUUGCACAGAUUGACGAGAAGGUUUUCGCGUCCCACCCCGUUUCGUGGUCCCAGGUUACCUGCUCGCUUUAGAUGUUUUUUCUCCAUAGUUGUUCUCACUUUGCUGAUUUGUCUCUAAUCCAAUAUCUGUUUGCAUUGCAGGUUCUUGGGGUGUGCACUACCCGCUUAAACCUUAGCAGCUCAAGCGGGUCGAGGCUUUACUGGUCAAUUCCUGUUCGAACCGAGAGCUGCUAACUACUUACAACUUGGUCGAAUCUGGUUUGGUAUCCACCGGCCAUAAGAUAGAGGAUGCUGUGAUCGGGGCUCUGAAUCGGAAACGUCCUCGACCUCAUACUGCCAAGCGAGACCAGAGUAAAGAUGCUCCCACUGCGAAGCGAGUGAACAUUGUACAGCAGGUUCCCCCCUUGAAGACUCUAUCACCUUCUCCUGCCAAAGCCGGGGAGACCAGUGGAGUAGCCACUGACCCUGCUUCCUCUUCUCCACCAGCUGGGCCGAGAUCUCGCUUAUCUGACCAUCGAGCAGAGCAUCUAGUCUCCUACAUCAGUGAGUUUUCUCGGCUCAUGAGCAAGAAGGACUUGGAGGACUUCGACGGCAGUACUCUGGGUGAGCUGGUGGGAGCUAUGCAGUAUAACGCUUUUCACCUCGGCUGCAUGGCCACCUACUAUAAGGCGAAGGUCGGUCGCUAUGACCGGAAGAUGAAGGAGGACAUUCAAUUAGUCAAGACCAAAGCUGAUGCUGUCGAGAAAAGAGCAGGAGACCUGAAUCUCGAGAAUUUGAAGCUGAUAGAGUGAGAAUCUCUCGGUCAAGCAAAGGCCAUUACUUUUGAGGAAGAGCUGACUACGGUCAAAGAGGAUCUGCAAAGGCAGAAGGCUAUGUACGAGGCUCAGCUCGAAUCUCUCCGGGAUGCCCACCAGGUUCAGGUCGAGAACCUAGAGAAGGAAGCUGACAACCAGUAUGACCAGGGGCUUCGGCACUCCUAUCGCUGCAUCAUGGCUGUCUUAGGGAACCAGCACCCUGAUCUAAAGAUGGAUGAGCUUGCUGCUGAUGUUGCUCAAUACAUCGACGAGGAGGCAACAAAAGAGGAUGUCGAUGAGGUGGAGCCAAAUGCGGCUGAUGAAGGAAACUCUCCUCCUCGUGCAGUCCCUGCUGAUGUUGCUGAGGCGAGUACCUCCCGGGUGUAACUGGCGAUACUCCCCUGCACCUGAGGUGGACCAGACAAUCGAGACUGCCCAGCUUACUGACCCGCUGUCCUCUUGAAUGUAUCUUGCAUUGUAGUUACUUUUUUAGAACACUGUAUGUUAAGAAUAGCAGCUUUUAUUGGUAAAUCAAUAAGAAUGUUCUUAUUUGUUUUCUUUGCCUCGAGCUCUUGGCAAAUUAUUUUAUUUUUUGGUAAAUUAUUUUUAUUCGUUAAAAUUGAUCAAUUAAAAGUUCGGCUUCCUGUUGCCCUACGUUUAAGAGUCUGCUCGCCUUAGCCUGGUCGAGCCGAUUCUGGCACACUUGACUUUUGGUCUCGCCAUAAAAUAAGCUUUGAGACUUAGUCUUUGCGUGCCUUAGAAAAUUUUCAAUACUUGGGAGUAUGCUCGCCUUCGCUUGGUCAAGUAGAUCCUGACACGCUUAGCUUCUGGUCUCGCCCUAAAACAGGCUUUGAGACUUAGUGAGCCUUUGCAUGCCCUUGAAAUUUUUCAAUGAUUAGGAUUCUGCUCACCUUCGAUUGGUCGAGCAGAUCCUGGCACGCUUGGCUUCUGGUCUCGCCAUAAAACAGGUUUUUAGACUUAGCCUUUGCCUGCCUUAGAAAAGUUUUUCAAUGAUUGGGAUUCUGCUCGUCUUCGCUUGGUCGAGUAGAUCCUGGCACGCUUGGCUUCUGGUCACGCCAUAAAACAGGCUUUGAGACUUGGUGAGCCUUCGCAUGCCUUAGAAAUUUUUCGAUGCUUGGGAUUCUGCUCGCUUUCGCUUGGUUGAGUAGAUCCUGGCAUGCUUGGCUUCUGGUCUCGCCAUAAAAUAGGCUUUGAGACUUAGCCUUUGUCUGCCUUAGAAAUUUUUCGAUGCUUGGGAUUCUGCUCGCUUUCACUUGGUCGAGCAGAUCCUAGCAAGCUCGGCUUCUAUUCUCGCCAUAAAACAGGCUUUGAGACUUGGUGAGCCUUCUCAUGGCUUAGAAAUUUUUCGAUGCUUGAAAUUCUGCUCGCCUUCGCUUGGUCGAGCAGAUCCUGGCACGCUUGGCUUCUGGUCUCGCUAUAAAACAAGCUUUGAGACUUGGUGAGCCUUUGCAUGCCCUAGAAAUUUUUCGAUGCUUGGGAUUUUGCUCGCCUUGGCUUGGUCGAGCAGAUCUUGGCACUCUUGGCUUCUGGUCUCGCCAUAAAACAUGCUUUGUGACUUGGUGAGCCUUUGCAUGCCUUAGAAGUUUUUUGCACCGUUACAAGUGAAUGAAAUUCCUCGACGUUUCAUUAAUCGCUGAAUUCAACUUACAUAAGAAUGCAUAGCAACGAGAACAAAUUGAAAUAAUUUUAAAACAUGAUCAAGUCUGACUGGAAAUAUUUCCUAAGGUGCGCUGCGUUCCAUGGGCAUUUCACCUCGUGGCCAUCCGUGCGAACAAGCUUGUAAGCUCCGGGUCCAACUAUCUGCUUGACCCUAUAUGGCCCCUUCCAAUUCUGUCCAAGCACUCCUUGAGUCGAGUCUUUCAUGUUAUGAUUCACUCUCCUUAACACCCAAUCUCCGACCUUGAACUGUCGUACAUUCACCUUCUGGUUGUAAUACCGAGCAACCCUCUGCUGGUAGACGGUUGGUCGCUUUGAUGCUUGCUCCCUCUUCUCAGUUAGCAAAUCCAGGUUUAGGCACAUACGCUCGUUGUUCUCCUGCUCAUCGAAAUGAUAUGUCCGGUGCGUGGUCGUCCCUAUCUCGACUGGUACAACCGCUUCAUGUCCGAAGGCCAAGGCGAAUGGAGUUUCCCCAGUUGCUGUUUUGUGGGUUGUCCUGUAUGCCCAUAAUACACCUGAUAGCUCAUCAACCCAUGCACCCUUUUUUGUUCCAAGCCUGGUUUUUAAAAGCCUCUUGAUCGUCUUGUUGGCUGCUUCUACUUGUCCGUUAGACUGAGGAUGAGCAUGCGAGCAAUACUUCAAUUCUAUCCCGAGGUUCUGGCAGAAGUCCCUGAAGUUCUGGUUAUCAAACUGCCUACCAUUAUCUGUUAUAAAAGCAUAAGGGAUCUCGUACCGACAGACCAGGUUUCUCCAUACGAAGUCAGUUGUCUUUUUCUCUGUGAUCCUACUAAGGGCUUCUACCUCUAUCAACUUCGUGAAAUAGUCUAUUGCUACUAUUGCAUGUGUUGCUGCUCCUCGUCCUUUUGGCAAUGGCCCAAUCAAAUCAAUUCCCCAUUGAGCAAAUGGCCAUAGGGAGGCCAUAGAAGUGAGCUUCUCCUGCGCAUCCUGGUGCAUUGUCGGCCAAAAAUAUCCCUGCCUUAGAACCUUGUAGGCAAGGGAUCUCGCACCAGAAUGGUUCCCGCAAACUCCUUCAUGUACUUCUCUCAGCACGUAAUCUGCGUCGUACUCGUCUAAACACCGAAGGAACGGCAGGGUAUAUCCCCUCCGAUAUAAUACCCCGUCAAUCAUUGUGUACCUCGACGCUUGGGCUCUAGUCUUCCGAACUUGUAACUUAUCUGGUGGCAGUAUUCCAUUCUGGAUGUACGAGAUUAUCGGGUCCAUCCACGAGCACUUCUGUUCUAUCUGCAGCACCCCCAAAUUCUGCUCGAUGCUAGGGCUGGACUUCACCUCCAAAUGGAUUGACUUAGGCAUUUUCGGAUCUGCUACCACUGCCAUCCUGGCCAGAAUGUCUGCUCGACUAUUCUCCUUCAUUGGGAUUUAUAUCACCUCAACCGCUUCAAACUUCCCGAUCAUCUGCUUGACUUUCUUCAAGUACUGUUCCAUUUUCCCAUCUCUCGGCUGAAAUCUUUCACUGACAUGAUUUACAACUAGUUAGGAAUCAGUUCGGAUCUUCACCCUAUCCGCUUUUACCGCCUUAGCCAAUUCCAAACCUGCUAUUAGGGCUUCAUAUUCUGCUUGGUUAUUUGUGGCUGUGAACUCCAACUUUAUAGCAUAAGAGAUCUCCUCCCCUUCUGGGCCUUCCAAGACAAUCCCUGCUCCAGACCCCUACUCCCCUGAUGACCCAUCCACAGAUACCUGCUAUACUCGAGCUUCGUUUCUGGCUGUAGCAGUAUCCAGCUCCUCGAAACAUACUUCGGGCUCCGCGAAUUCUGCUACGAAAUCGGCCAUUGCCUGGGCCUUUAUUGCUGCUUGGGGCUUGUAACUUAUAUCGAACUCACUCAACUCUAUAGCCCAUUUUACUAGCCGACCAGAGGCAUCCGGCUUGUGUAGAGUUUGCCGUAACGGUUGGUUUGUGAUUACCGAGAUAGGGAAUGCUUGAAAGUAUGGCCUCAGCUUCCGAGCAGCAACCACAAGAGCCAGUGCCCAUUUUUCUAGCGGCGGAUAUCUGGUCUCAACAUCUAGCAGGGCCUUGCUCGUGUAAUAUAUUGGGUAUUGAACCCCUUCUUCUUCUCUCACCAGCACAGAACUUGUGGCAUGAUCCGAUACUGCCAAAUAUAGGAAUAACACGUCCUCAUCUCGUGGCGUGGACAACAAAGGAGCUUGCUGCAAAUACUGCUUCAAAUUCUGGAAAGCUUUUUCACAUUCAGGGGUCCACUCUGUUUUCUUUCCUCUCCUUAUCACUUGAAAGAAUGGCUGGCACUUAUCUGUUGCCUUGGAUAUGAAUCGGCUCAAUGCCGCCAAUCUCCCCGUAAGGCUCUGCGUCUCCUUUAGGUUACGAGGAGAUCUCAUCUGCACGAUUGCCUGAAUCUUCUCGGGAUUCGCUUCGAUCCCCCGAUGACUUACCAUGAACCCGAGAAAUUUGCCCGACUCGACCCCAAAAGCACACUUCUCCGGGUUGAGUUUCAUCUUAUACUUCUUCAAAAGUCCAAAUGUCUCAUCGAGGUGCUUGACAUGUUCCUUUGGGAUUUUUGACUUGGUUAUCAUGUCGUCCACAUACACCUCCAUUGUUCUCUCUAUCAGUGGUUUAAAGAUUUUGUUCACCAGCCUCUGGUACGUGGCCCCCGCAUUUUUAAGACCGAAUGGCAUUACCCUGUAACAGAACAAACCCUGGUUAGUAAUAAAUGUCGUGCUCUCCUCAUCCUGCUCGAACAUGGGGAUUUGGUUGUAUCCCGAAAAUGCUACCAUGAAUUUGAGCAGGCCAUGAUCGGCUGUUGAGUCUACCAGCUGGUCGAUCUUAGGUAAGGGAAAGCUGUCUUUCGGGCACGCCUUAUUGAGGUCUGUGAAAUCUACACACAUCCUCCAUUUGCCAUUAGCCUUUUUUUACUAACACCACAUUCGAUAUCCACUCAGGAUAGUUGACUUCCCGAAUGAACCCUGCCUUCAAGAGUUUCUCCACCUCGCCGUUUAUAGCCUCAUACCUCUCCUGGUUGAAGCACCUUCGUUUCUGCCUUACUGCCGAGCACUCUUUUUUUAUUGCCAACCUAUGGCAUGCGGCCUCAGGGUCGAUUCCCGGCAUGUCCUCAUGUGUCCAAGCAAACACAUCUGCAUGAGCUCGUAAGCAAUGCACCAGCUCUUGCUUCUGCUCAUCUUUAAGUUUUGACCCGAUUCGGACUAUUUUUCCUGGAUCAUCUUGCUGCAAGCUUACUGUCUCUAGUUCCUCUACAGGCUCAUGUCUGGCAUUCUUGGCCUCUACUCGAGUAUCAAGAGAUGUAAUCUGCAUUGCUUCCCUUGCUGCUGUGGAGUAACAGCUUCGGGCAAUUCUUUGGUCUCAUUCACCCGAUACUUGAGAGCUAGAUAAUGGUUGGAAAGUAUCGCUUUACUCAUGCUCAGAAAGGGGCGGCUUAGAAUCAUCUGAUAAGGACCCUCUUCAUCAACCACUACAAAAUCCAGUAUCAUGGUCUUUUCUGUCGGGGAGCUGCCAAUUGUGAUGGGCAGUUCGACCACGCCUAGAGGAACCAGCUUUCCUCCCCCAAAUCCCUUCAAGGAGGUAUUGGUAUGCUCUAAUCUCAAGUCUGCUAUUCCCAUCUCCUCCAUAGUUGACUUGAACAAAACAUCAACCGAGCUUCCUGUGUCAACCAGAAUCCGGUCAAACUUCUUGCUAGCAGCGGUGGCCUUGAUGACUAAGGCAUCCUCGUGUGGAUAUAGAAUCACUUCAUCAUCAUCAUCUGUCCACAUGAUUGGAACUUGCCUGACUCUUACUCGUUUGGCUGCUGGGGUGUUGAAGAAUACCUCUUUGCUAGUCAUUGCAUAUCUAGCAUAGUUCUUCCUCGACCUGUUGGAAUCUCCUGCCAACGUCGGGCCCCCAGCAAUCACUCUUACUAUAGGCUGCUCGUGGCUCAAGUUUCUAUCACUCUGCUCCCCUUCACAUGUCGAGGCCACCAUCGGGAAAGUCCUAUCUAUAAACUCGUCCAGGUAUCGAUUUCUCACCAAAUCGUCAACCUAGGUCUUGAAAUCUCUACAUUCUGUUGUGGUAUGGCCAUGAGUGCUAUGGAACUUGCAAUAGCGUCCCCUAUCCCUUAUGCUGGGUAGCUUUGUUAUUGGGGUAGGGAGGUAGAGUAAUCUCUGGUCUUUUAUGGCCUCGUACACCUCGUCCAGGGGCAUCUUCAAGGAAGUAUACAGUCCAUAGUCCUGGUUCUGGUCGAUCAUGUGCACUGCCCUUUCUCUGUUUGUGCCGUUCUGAACUGGAGGAGGUGGCAACGCUUCUGGUCUGCUCCCUCUACCACCAUAGGGGUGUGGAUGAGGAUGACCAUAUGCCGAGUCAUGCCUCCUCUAAGGCUCCCUAGCUGGUGAACGAGGAGGUUGCGCCCUGCUGCGCUGAUACUGUGGUGGUCUCUGAUGAGGCUGGUAAGCGGUGACCUGACCUCCUGAACCACUACCCGAGGCAUGGUGGUCCCUCCUCUUGAUCGGCCCAUUUCCUAGUAAGGCUCUCUUCUCUUUCCUUCUCAACCCUUCUAGCUGGUCUGUCUUAAUCCGUGCUGCCUUUUUCUCCUCAAUCUCUAUAUCCCUCUUAGCCUGCUCGUAAGCGGCUGCAUACGUCUGAAUGACUGAGCUCCUCAAAUUGUACCACAGCCUUCCUAUCUUCACCCCUUCUUUCAAUCCCCUUAAUGCCUGAGGAUGGUUGAAGGCUCCCAAGUCGAGGACUGCGCGAUAAAACCUCUUGAUGAAUUCCCGAAGGGUUUCUUCCUCUCCUGCUUCAUGCUUUUCAACUCCAUCAUGUCAUCUUCCGGUGCCAUUGCCCCACGAAACUGCUCUGUAAAUUCCUGGCACAUCUGUUCGAAGGAUUUAACGCUUCCUUGAGGAAGUUUUCGGUACCACUCACGUGCUCAUCCCUCCAGAGACAGCAGGAACACCCUGCAUCUUUGAGCUUGGGAUAAUCCUUGCACCUCAGUUAUGUCGUUAAAGCACUCUAUGUGCACCAACGGAUCGGUUCGCCCCGAGUACCUGAGGUGUGGGAGGCGAAAAUCCCUUGGAAUGAUUGCUCUCAUGAUCUCUGCCGAGAGCGGGGAUUCUCCGUCCAGCAUUAUCCUCCAACCAGGUGCUCUGCUCCUUCCUUGCAUGUCAUCAAUUACCUGCGCUAAUCUGUGCACUUCUUCCUCCAGCUGUACUGCACGACCAGGGUCACGUGCUGCAACUUAAUCCCACUCUUGCUCUACAUCAUAUAAGUGUUGCCUGAGCUCUGUUUCCUCUGCAUUCGCCACCCCGUCAUCAUUAUCAAAAAUUUGCCUUCCUGGGGAUUGGUCUUCUCCUCUAUGGACUUAUCCCCAUAAAGAUAAGUUACCUCCCUCACCACCAAAUCUUCUGGUGGUCCGACUUCUCAUCAUAUCAUCGUGCCCUGGUGCCAUUCCGCUACUUCUCACCAUUUCCUCAUGGAUUCCCCUUCGUUCACUCCUCAGCUCAUGUAGGAUGGUUGUCAAGGUCUUCAUCUGCUUUUUCAUCUGUUCCAUCCGGUCGUACAUGGCUUUUUCCCGUGCUUCAUUGGCUAUCUUCCUUAACGUCACGGAUUUGUUAAGCCUCAUAUCACCUCCUUGGGCACUACUUCCUCCUACAUUCAUUGUUCAUUCACUUGCUUUAUUCUUCUUCUUUCUGUCAACAGAAGCUUUUUGUUCAGCUCCCCACGGACGGCGCCAAAAUAUUGAUGCGAGAUUCUGGUUACCCUCUCUACCUCGACCAGGAUCUCUCCUCAACCAACUCGACCACGAUCAGAAUAUCUCCUCGUAAGACUUCUUCUCUAAAGGCUCCUGCGUACACAGAAACAAGUCAGAGCACGUCGGGUGUUUUUCCGGCGUAAACCCUCUGACACUCAAGUCAGAAAUGAAGGUUUCGUGUUCCUGGGAAAGUUAGCCACUGAUCUUAUGGCUUCUUUUUGGGUCUCAAUUAUUCAGAGCUCUCUUUAUCUUGAUUUCAAUUUAAAAAAAUCUAACCCUUUUACCUUCGUUGGCUAUCUUUUUAUAGGCUUCUCUUGAGUUCAGACCUUCUCUCAAUCCACGCCCAUUACCUUCUCACCUCUUGGAAGUGGAUGCUCUAUUUCCGUAAUUGUGGGUGGUUGCAUGGCUUUCGUGCCUUGAUUCUCGGGUUGGAUUGCACGUCUCGCCAACUGUCGUUGACCGAGUUUCCUCGCCUCAACCCCUAGCAGGAAUGGCUUUAUGCUUCUAAUAGGAGACCGGCCUCGCGGAUGGCGUAUUCGUGGUCGAGCAGAAUAUUCCUGCUUCUGUGCCCCUGCUAACAGACUCCUGCCAGAUAUACCUGCUCGUGAAACCCUACUACCAGAUGUCUGCUCAUCACAGCUGGUCUUGUCGAAGUACAUCCCCCAAACACUUGCUAAUAAGCUUGCCUGUGCUGGUGAUAAUAUAACUGAAAAAGAUCUGCUAAUAAGAACUCUUAAUGGAUUAGGAUCUGGCUGUCUGGAUUUAGCUUCAAUAAUUACAGCAAAUAAAAUGAAUUAUGAUGAUGCAUAUGCACUUUUGUUGACUCAUGAGGCUAGAUUGGAACAAAAUCAGAAUUCUUAGAAUUCUCAAGCCAUGUUUAAUGCUAAUUACAGUAUGAUGAAUGCAAACUAUUCACAUAUAAGGGGAAUUCCUAGGAGAAAUACUUAUGGUAAUGAAUCUUUUGGUCAAUUUGGAGGAAGAAAUCAAAAUUUUGGUCGAGACAUAUUCUUUACUUCUUAUCCUAGAGGUUUUCCAGCUGGUAGUAGUACUGCUGGUGGUUUUGGCAGAGGACAUGCUGCAAGCUUUGGAAGGAAUUAACAGUUUACAAAUCAUCUUAGGUCACCACAUGUGAGGAAUGUAUUUUUACCUGGAAUGAACUCAAGCAUUUCUACUGGUGAAUCUAAUGAGUCAAUACCUGUGUGUCAAAUAUGUCACAAACAAUGUCAUACUGCUGAUGCUCGCUGGUAUAGAUAUGGUGAUAAUUACUCUCAUUCUCCAAAACAAUUUGGUAGAGGAAAAAUGAUGGGACCUAAAGCAGCAUAUAUGGCUAAUUUUGAGCCAUUCUCAUACCACCAGUCAGCUAUUGAAGAUCCUUAUGAAUUGUCUGGUUUCAACUCCAGCUGUCAACCAGUACAUUACUCUUCUGUUUCUUCUUAUUCAUCAGAAGUAUUUACUCUGCCUGAAGCUUAUGUUGUAAAUCUGGAAGAUUCAUCAGAUGAAGGGUGGUAUCUGGAUAGUGGUGCCACACAUCACAUUACAAAUAACAUGGCAAACAUGCAUGUACGAGAAGAGUUCAAAGGUUUAGACCAGCUUACUAUUGGAAAUGGACAAAGUUUGACAAUUACUCAUAUUGGUGAUGCCUGCUUUAACUAUAAAUGUCUUCAUACUGCCUGCAAGCACACACCUAUAACACUUAAGGAUAUCUUAUUAGUUCCUUCAAUUACUAAGAACUUAAUAAGUAUAUUUAAGUUGACAACUGAUAAUAACCUUUCCAUUGAAUUUGUUGGCAAUGUGUGUUAUGUAAAGGAUUCACUGAAGGGACGAGUGCUUCUGUAAGGUCUUGCUGAAAAAGGAUUAUACAAGUUACUGUUAAAGUCAUCUCAGACAUCUCCCUCUUAUUUCUUGAGUCAAAUCUCUUCAAAUAAGCCUUUGUCUAUGCUAUCUACUUGUCAUCUUUACUUUCCUGUUACAACUGGUGCUCAAAAUAAUCACUCAACUUCUAUGUCUUGUUAUCAAACUGUUGUCUCUCAUUGUAAUGCAUCAGUUAAUAAAAUCAAUUUGUUUCAUAGAAGAUUUGGUCAUCUUCAUCAUGAUGUACUAAUACAUUUGCAUAAGAAUGAUAAAACUAUCAAUCUCUCUACCAAUUUUAUCAAACACUCUGCUCAGCAAAUAUGUGAGGCAUGUCAAAUGGGCAAGGUUCAUAAACUGCAUUUUUCUGUUACUGAAACCAAAACUUCUCACAUACUUGAACUCAUUCAUACUGAUCUGUGGGGACCCUCACUUAUACCUUCUAGAGCUGGUUAUAUCUAUUAUAUCAGCUUUGUUGAUGAUUUCAGCCGAUAUACUUGGAUUUACCCAUUAAAGUUGAAAUCUGAAGCCUUACAAAUUUUCAAAUUAUUCAUAUUGCAAGUUGAAAAAUAGUUUCAAUGCUCAAUUAAAAAGUUGCAAUCUGACUGGGGGGUAGAGUACCGAGCAUUUACUGAAUUCUUGAAUCAAAAUGGCAUUAUUUUCAGGCACUCAUGUCCCUAUACACAUCAUCAAAAUGGGGUAGUUGAGAGAAAGCAUAGGCAUGUAGUUGAAUUAGGUCUCACACUUUUAGCUCAAGCUAAGUUACCUUUACAAUUUUGGUAGGAAGCUUUCCAAACUGUUGUUUAUCAUAUUAACAGGUUGCCUUCUGCAACUCUGAAAUUUCUUACACCAUAUGAAAAGCUUUUCAGUCAUAAACCAUAUUACAAGAUGCUCAAAUGUUUUGGCUGUGCAUGCUAUCCUUAUUUGAGAGAUUACAACAAGCAUUAGUUUGUAUAUCAUUCUAGUAAAUGUAUUUUCAUAGGUUACAGCCCAUCUCAUAAAGGGUACAAGUGUUUACACCCAUCUGGUCAAACCUAUAUAGCUAGACAUGUUGUUUUUUAUGAGAAUUUGUUUCCUUACUCAUCAGAUUCUGCUUUCACUUCAAACUCAUCAAAUUCAUGUUCAAACAUACCAUUUACUCCUCAACAAGUGUAUCAUCUAUCCACUUUGUCAAUGUCUCCAAUAUCAGAUAACAGCAACUACUAUAAUCAUGAUUCUGCAAGACCUACCAGUGGUACUUCUUAUCACUCAGGUAAUUCUGCAUACAACAUUGAUCCUCACUUUUCAUUACAAACAGUUCAACCACAUACAGAGCCAGAGCCUUAUAUUUCUCCUCAUGAUCAAAUAUCACUAAACACUAUUCCAUCUACCUCAGCUCUAGAACAUACACAACAUAUUACUACACCAGUAAACACACAUUCCAUGAUCACUAGAAGCAAUGAUGGGAUUUUUAAACCAAAACUCUACAAUGUCACACUUAGGGUUGGCAGAAAAGCCAGGGCCGGCCCAGGCCCGCGUAGGCCCGGCCCGUGGCUUGAAAGUAUGGGUAAGGGCUCAUAAUUAAUAAAGCCCAUAACAUAUGGGCUCAGUCAAGGGCCUAAAUGAAAAGCCCGGGCUUUAUAAUAAAUAAUAUAUAUAUAUAUAUAUAUAUAUAUAUAUAUAUAUAUAUAUAUAUAUAUAUAUAUAUAUAUAUAUUGGUCAUCAUAUUUCUAAAGGAACAAUCACUCCAAUCGAGAGAUCUCUUUUGUUUGCUGAUAAAUUUCCUGAUAAAAUUCUUGACAAAACCCAAUUACAAAGAUUUCUUGGCAGUUUGAAUUAUGUUCUUGACUUCUGCCCUAAUAUUAAUAGAAUGUCUAAGCCUUUGCAUGACAGAUUAAAAAAGAAACCUGCUCCUUAGACAGAUGAACAUACAAAAGUUGUUAGAUUAAUAAAGAAUUCUGUAAAAAGUAUCCCAUGUUUAUAUCUUGCUAAUCCUACAUUACCUAAAAUUGUUGAGACUGAUGCAUCUGAUUUAGGUUAUGGAGGCAUAUUAAAGCAAAAGGAAAAUGAUAAAGAACAGAUAGUACAAUAUGUUUCUGCACACUGGAAUGAUUGCCAGAAAAAUUAUUCUACUAUCAAAAAGGAAAUCCUUUCCAUUGUUUUAUGCAUUACAAAAUUUCAAAGUGAUUUAUUAAAUAAAAAAUUUCUACUUAGAAUUGAUUGCAAAGCUGCAAAACAUGUUUUGGAAAAAGAUGUUCAAAAUAUUGCAUCAAAACAGAUUUUUGCACGAUGGCAAGCCAUUUUAAGUGUUUUUGAUUUUGAUAUUGAAUAUAUUAAAGGUGAUACAAAUUUUAUUCCUGAUUUUCUAACUCGGGAAUUUCUUCAAAACAGAUAAUGCCGCCAAAGAAGAAAGACAAAGGUAAAGCUGUUCUUAAAGACUCUGAAUCUAAAGCAAGGAUCACCUAUGAAAUGAAGAGAAAUAGUGAGGAUUAGAGUGGCAACCGCAUCUUGAAUUGGGUUAUUAAACUCAUCCAAAAUGGGUAUUUUAUCCUCAUCGAUUUGUAUGGAAUUUAGAAUAUCUAAUUGUUGCUGUUGGGUGAGAAGAUGAUCCCACCAACCUUUGAGUUGACCUGUAAAACCAGCAAUAAGGAUUUCUGCAAUGGCUUUGUCAGAAGUUCCUGAUUGGGUUUUAUAUGCAUUAGCUGUCAUGGUCAUCUGUUGCAACAAUCCUAAGAUGUUAUACUCAGACAUUCCAUCUAAAUUCCACUCAUAGACAGAGGAUGCAUUAUAUCGAGAUUGGUUUAAUGCACUAGGCCUGUUGUCUGUGGUCAAAUCAGGUGGAGACCUUACAGUGGGAAGGGCUAAUUCCCAAUGGAUUUUAUUGGCUUUAGGAAUAGGUUCUUCCUUAAAGGUGAGUUGAUUACAUUUUCCUUAAAGGUGAGUUGAUUACAUUAAUGACAUUUUCUGUAACAGCAGAAAACGUAGGGGAAGUUGGAGGAGAAGGUUCCUUCUCUUCCUGACUUUGUACAUGUUGAUUACUAGUGUAGAUCAGAUGAGGAACACUAGUGGUGUAAUCAACUUAUCGAAUGGAGGUACUAGGUAUAUCUGAAGUAGAAAACCUAGGUUGACUUUUUAUGGACUGAAAAGGGAGAUUUAUAAUAGAUUUGCUUUGGAACGCGGUUGGUCAAGUUUUAAUAAAGGUACGUGGCGUUGUAUCUAGAUCGAUGCAGAGACAAGUCUGCCUUUGGAACCAGAUCUGACUUAGAACAGAUCAAUAUUCCGCAUGUUCUAGUUUCCAGCCGAUAUACCAAUUAUAUUUAUUUCAAAGCUGGUAAUUACUUAUAAAAUUGGACAAAGCCGACCCAACACAAGCAUUGUUUAAUUUGAGUUUUUAAUAAUUGAUAUUCCAACGAAAGCAUAUAUAUAUAUAUAUAUAUAUUAUAUUAUAUAUUAUGGAUAAGGGCUUUAUAUAUAUAUAUAUAUAUAUAUUAUAUUAUAUAUUAUGGAUAAGGGCUUUAUAUAUAUAUAUAUAUAUAUAUAUAUAUAUAUAUUUUAAAAAAUGUAUAAUAUAUUAUAAAAUUGAAAAAAAAAUUAAACAAAACAAUAAAAAAAUCGGGCAAAGGGAAAGGGCAAAGGUUUUGUCACAAAAUGUCAAAAUUCAUAAAUCGGUAAAUCUCUAUUAGUUUUUUUUUUAUAUUAGUUGUUAAUUUGUAUGUUAUGUACGGUACUUGUAUUGUUAGUAUUUUUAUAUUUUGUGUUGGCUAAUCAUGUAUUAGAGAAUUAUAUUUAAGUUUUUAGCAUAUUGUAGUAUUAUGUAUUGGAUAAUUAUGUUUUGAAAAUUUAUAGUUUUAUUUUUUAAAAAAAAAUUGAAAAUUCGUAAAAGCCCGGGCUCGGCCCGAGGCCCAGCCCAGGCCCGUCAAGGCCCAGCCCGCCCAAAGCCCGCCCAACUUGGAUGGGCUUUGAGAGGGCCUGGACUUAUUUAACAUUAUAUGGGCCUGGUCCUGGGCUUGGCAAAGCCCGGCCCAGGCCUUUAAAUUGCCAACCCUAGUCACACUUGCUCAUAAAGAACCAGAAUCUGUCAAAGAAGCUAUGGAGAAUCCUAAAUGGUUUACAGCCAUGAAGGAUGAGUACAAUGCUCUAAUGAGUAACAAAACAUGGUCUCUGGUUCCUAGAUCAGCUGGUCAGAAAAUUGUUGGCAACAAGUGGGUAUUUAGAGUCAAACAGAAUUCAAAUGGAAGUUUGGCCAAGUAUAAAGCCAGGCUAGUAACUAAGGGGUUUCAGCAGAUUGAAGGGGUUAAUUAUUUUGAGACAUUUAGCCCUGUUGUAAAGUCAGCUACUGUCAGAGUGGUGAUUAGUUUAGCUGUCAUGAAACAAUGGGAGAUAAGGCAAGUCGAUGUAAAUAAUGCUUUUCUUAAUGAAGAGCUGACAGAAGAGGUGUUUAUGGAUCAACCAGCAGGCUUUGUUAAUAAUCAGAAACCAGAUUUUGUGUGCAAACUCCACAAGUCUCUCUAUGGCCUUAAACAAGCUCCAAGGGCCUGGUUACAGUGGGAUUUUAUAAACUCAAGAGCAUACUCUUCUUUAUUAAUAAAGAAAACAAGCAACAUCAUGAUAAUGGUGUUGAUUUAUGUGGAUGAUAUCUUAAUUACAGGUCCAGAUAGUGCAACAUUGGAAACCUUUAUAAUUGAACUGAGCAGAGUCUUUGCCUUGAAUGAUUUGGGUAAUUUGUCUUAUUAUCCAAAGUUCAGCUACUUGAAUGCAAAGGAAUUGAUAUACCUAUGAGCACUAGAAUAAAGCUACAAAAGGAAACUUUAGGUCAUUUUGGUCAAUAUAUUACUGAUCCUACACAUUAUAGAAGCAUUGUGGGGGGAAUGCAGUAUCUGAUCCUAACAAGACCAGAAAUUGCAUUUGUUGUCAACAAGUUAAGCCAGUAUGUUUCCACUCCUACACUGCAACAUUUGGUAGCUUGUAAGAGAGUGCUCAGAUACUUGAAGUCUACUCAAGAUUAUGGACUUAAAUUUGUUCAGCAUGGAGAGAUGAAAAUCACAAGAUUCACUGAUGCAGAUUGGGCCUGUGAUCUUGAUGACAGAAAGUCUGUGGGUGCUUACUGCAUUUACUUGGGAAACAAUCUAAUAUCAUGGUCAUCUAAAAAGCAAUCAGUCAUUGCCAGAUCAAGUGCUGAAAGUGAAUAUAGAGCCUUAGCGUCAACUAGUGCAGAGAUAAGCUGGUUACCAUCUCUGUUUUCUGAAAUUGGUUUAAGCUGUACAGAAACUCCUACUAUCUGGUGUGACAACAUCAGUGCCACUGAAUUAGCUCGCAAUCCUGUUAUCCAUUCGAGAACUAAACAUAUUGAGAUUGACUUACACUUCAUCAGAGACAAAGUGAUUGCUGGAGAGCUGCAAAUUCAGUACAUUCCUAGUGCAGAACAGAUAGCUGAUAUCAUGACCAAGCCUCUCUCAUUUAUUCACUUUAACUACCUUAGAGACAAACUCAAUGUGCAGCUAUAUCCCUUGAGUUUGAGGGGGGCUGUUAAGGAAGCUCAUUGUGCUGAGCUUAUGAAGAAUAGAAAGGUGAAGAAGUCGUUAGUCUCAGCAAGUGAAGUUAGUUAAUCAUGCCAGCUCAGCAGUGCCAAGUCAUCAGAGUUAGUUAUGAAAUAACAAGUCAGCACAAGUUGUUAAAGUCUGUUAUUAGUAAAUCUUGUGUAUAUAACUAAUCUCGUGAGUAUAUAAGUUGUGAUUGAUUCAGUUGUAAAGUGAUUUGACAAAAGUCGAGAUCCAAUGAAAUAAAAAUUUUCUCUGCAACUUUUCUCUCAAAACAAACAGCUCAAGUUUUCUUUCACUUGCAAGUCAGUCAGAUGUUUACGGUUUUGGGAUGGUGUUGUUGGAAAUGGCUGGAGGAAGAAGGAAUUCCAAUAUGAAUGCAACUCGUUCAAGCAAAGCAUAUUUCCCAUCUUGGGUAUAUGACCAAUUAAAUAAGGGAGGUGAUUUAGAGCUUCAGAAUGUUACUGAAAUUGAAUCCAUGAUAGCAAGGAAACUGUGUAUGAUUGGUUUGUGGUGUAUUCAGGUGAAGGCAGCAGAUCGCCCCUCUAUGACAAAAGUUUUGGAGAUGUUAGAAGGGAGUAUUGACAAUUUGCAAAUGCCUCCUAGACCUUUCUUCUCUUCUUCUCGACAUAUCUCUGGAACUGGAAGAGAGAUUGAAUCAGAUUCUUCAGCAGAGUUGUUAGUGUCUGAAUCAAUGGAGGAAUGUUCUUUCAAUGAUAGCUAUGUUUAAUUUUUGCCAAGGAUGAAUGUAAAAUAAAUAAAUAAUAGAUUGCAAUGACAAACGUUCUCUAUCUUCUUCUUGUUUUAUCUCGCAUUGAAACUUAAUGCAUAUAUUUGUGAGUGCAAGCUAGUUUAGUAGUUGAAAUCUCCUACUCAUAUAGGUGGCAAUAGGAUUUAAUUAGACGUGCGCUAUGCUUUAAAAAGAAAAUAAAAGUCUCUCGCAUUGAUUACAAACACUGGAUAGGAGUUGGAAAUUUUAUUCUAUAUUUUUAUCACACAUUGAAAAUUGAUCACAAAAAAACCAAGUCUACACCUUCAUUCAGCCUAUUCUUAUAAUUGUUGUGCACAAAUGUCAUGGAGGACUAGUCUCUUGUGGGGCUGCCAUUGACUUAAAUACAAUGCAUUUUAGCCAUCCAAAUUCCAAAAAUGAGUAUCAUUUGCUCUUUCACAUUAAGAAAUAUAUCCUCAACCAAGAAGGAAGAGUUAUUAAUAUUACACGAAAAAGCAUCCCUAUUUCUCAUUUUCUCCAUGUCACCUGUGCUUAGUUUAAUUCUCUUCCUUCUCUUUCCUUACACAGAAGCCAAAACUUCAGAAGGAAACAACGAUACAAAUAUUUAUGAAUUUUGUCAGCCAACAACAUGCAGCACGAAGGGACCAAAAUAUCAGAUUUCCCUUUAGACUCAAAACUCAACCUAUCUCUUGCGGUCUUGAAGGGUUUGAAUUAUCAUGCUUAAACACCAAGACAGUGUUGCACCUUCCUUCCUCUGGCGAUUAUUAUGUGCAGGACAUUUCUUAUCUUCACAGCAGAAUUACCAUUAUGGAUGUACAUGAGUCCACAUGCCCUUUAAAAACCACCCGAGCGGCUUUGUCAAACUAUGGAUUGACCUAAAAGGGGAGAGCUUAAAUUAAAUAUUUGAAUCUUAUUCUGAUUUUUUUAAAAUAAUUUAUAAGAGUUCAUAAAAAAAAGUUGUAAAUGUGUAAUUUAGAUAAAUAUAAAUACCCAAAUAAAAUUGGGCAAACUUUUAUUUUUCAUGAUGCUUUUUUUUUCCUUUAAAACCAAAAUAAAUUUAGGAUUCAUUUAUGUUUUAAUCACAUGCUUGUUUCAAAAUUUUACUUUCUUACAACGUUUUAUGAUUUUUUUAAAAUGUGCUCGCAUAUUUGUUAAAUUUAAGAAUUAAAGUCCAUGAUAUUAUAUUCAUCUUUAAGUUUCUCGAACAGCUACUUCGGAAGACUAGAAGGAAAAAUAUGAAUAAAAAAACGGAACAGUUCAUGGCUUUAUGCUUCUUUAUGGACUGUGGUUGCCUCAAUGAACAGCCCAAGUGAUUAUUGGGCUUUUAAUUCGGCUCCUAUGAAAAGCCCAAAGCGUCCACGAUGAAGCAGGUCACAGGAGCAGUCCCAAUUUUGAAUCUCUCUCAACUCCUCAAGCGGGGUUUCAUUUUGAAUGCCGCCUUUGGCCUCAUUUCACAAUAUAGAUGUGCAUGCAUGGAGGAUAUAUAUACACUGGGUGUAGUUGUGUAUAUAUAACUUAUAAAGUUAUAAUUAUAUUAUGAGUAUAUCUUUCUAUGUAUGUAUGUAUAUAUGAACAAAUAAAAUAAUAAUUAUACGAAAAUUAACUAGUACCUGAAAAAAGAUCAGUAGAUCACUUCAAUUUUGAGGGCCAAAUAAUGAUGCACGUUGAUGAUGGAAUACAGAGGGCUCAAAGAUUUAAAAUGCGUUUGAUUAAUGGCAUUUUAAUUUAUGUGCUCUCUAUCUUCUAUCAAGAAAAUUUCAAAAAAUUAACGCCCUCUACUUCAAUCAGACCAAACACAUGCACCAAAUACUAAUUAGGAAAAAAAAACAAUCGAUAUGCUUUUGUCUCCACAAUAAUAAAUAGCUGCUGAAUGGCCAUGGAAGCGUGCAUAUCCACAGCGGCACGAAAUUAAAGUACUUGAUAAAUUGUUUACAGUAGCAAGGACUUUGUAUGCAAGAUGCCAAUUAAAUGGUUGCGGGCUCAAAAACAUUAAUUUAUGCAGUGCUUCCCCCUUUUAGGCUAGAGAGAAAUCAAGUCUACAUUACUUUCCCUCAUUUUCUUUUUUGCCUUUGGCAAUAGAUACAUUAUUUUAUUGUUUUUUUAGCACAUUUUCAAUAAGACUACUAUUCCCAUAUCGGUUGCCAAGUUAAAUAGUUAAUCAUUUGAUCAAUAUUUUAUUUUAUGGAUUUGAGUUCGACAUGACGGAUAUUAGAAACCAGUGGGAUACAACAUGACCAACUUUUACAUCAAUACAUACAUUAUACUAAUGCGGCUGUGACAUUUGAAAUAAGCGAUCAUUCGAUUAAAUCCAUUUACGGUAGAACUACAUACCGCAUGAAACGCAACAGGACUCGUUCCAAUGUCACAAAAUUAAUACGAAAACAUUUGAUAGAGAGGAAAUCUCUGCACAAGUGAAUUGCCUUCAUAAAAUAUCAUAGUGGCACUUUGACUCUUGACGGCAAAGAGGGCUGCUCAUAGAACCAAUCUUGAAUCGGAAAUGGAGAGUUCUAAAAACCACAUGAAAAAUUAGCUUACGAAGACACAUCAAAAUGUUGCACCAAGCAUAAGAUUCAAGAUAUCCUUAGCUCGAAUAUGUUGUAUGUAAGUUAAGUGGAAAUAUCAGGACACAUUGAUUUUCUUCCCCUCUGUGUCUAACUAGUAUUAUAUCGUUGGUCUAACUUUUUCCAUCUAUAUCCUGUGUGUGAUGAAUAACAUAUAAAUUGAUCUAAAUUUUUGUCAUAAACUAUACCAUUUGUACUCUUAAUCCACUUGAGAUUAAUGAACGUCGUAUAUGAUUAAAAAAAUUAUUAAUUUCAUCUCUUUUGUUAUUCUAAUAAUCUAUUAUAUGCUGUUAUAUCCCAUGAUCAAACUAUGUAUUCGACAGUUAAUUUUUCAAUAUUAUUUUAUUAUAUAUUUACUUGUUUCCAUAAUCAUAGUCUAAUUAAUGAUUUAUGUUUUUGUUUUUUUGGACUUUGGUGGUCUCAAUACGAAGCCCAACUCAUAUUGGGCAUUUGAAGUUUAAAUCAUUAAAAAGCUCAAUUAGUCCCCUAUCCGCAAGGAUAGACUAAUAUCCUAAUGGCAUAUUAGUGCCGUCACACACGCCUACAACAUAAAAACUUAUCAUGCAUUAUAUUGAACGCAAUUGUGCACACCGGAUCAUAAUUUUAAUUAUAUAUAUCUUUCUUUAUUCAUAAAAAUAAUAAUAAUAACAACAAUAAUAAUUACAACAGCAACCAUAAUUUUUAGAAACGCGUGAACAUGACAUGAGAAGUCCUCAUUCUUCUGCAUGUCGGUCGCUUUAAAAGUGUUGGUGUUGGCGGCCGUUCCAAAUUUCCAAUGCCGCGUUUCUCCAAAUCCUGUUAAAAAAUAAUAAUAAUAAAGUAAGCGAAAGAUAUUGACUGGAAUUGGACUGCAUGGAAACUGUUUCCAAUAAGUUGUAUCGCUGUUAAUAUUGAAGAACGUUUACUAAGAAAUUUGAGGUCAAGCUAGGAUGGGGAUGGAUGGAUCAUCCCAUUCCCACCGAUGCUAACUCAUUUACAAUUACCAGGAAAUUAAGCGACUUCACUUUGCCGUAUUGACUUCCCCUUUGAAAUCUGAAAGCUUCCACCUAAACAAAUCGUGGAAAGAGACUUCAGAAGCUGCGUGGCAUCCGCAUACAAAAUUUACAGUAAGAAACGAAAUUGAACAUGUUUAUCUAGAUUUGUCCCUUUAUCUUCCAUUGCAUUAAUGCUUGAAGCCUAGCACUCAGUAAUUAAAAAUUUUCUUCCAUCGUGUCGAUUUCAUUUUAUGAAUAAUUAAUAUUAUUUUUAAACAAAUUAUUUAGCGCUAAUUAAUUCAAUCACAUAGUUGUAUCCUAAACUAUGAUAAGUUUAUGAAUAAUUAAUAGUAUUUUUAAACAAAUUAUUUAGCGCUAAUUAAUUCAAUCACAUAGUUGUAUACUAAACUAUGAUAAGUUUAAAGCCCGCCUCUCACCGUGCAAGUGAAAAUGUAGAAAACAUAGCGCAUUAACACUUUUAUACCGUUCUACUUAGUUUAUUGAAAUUCGUUAAUUGUAUCCUGGAAUUGGAGGAGCAAUGAGUAGUGACGAAGCUUCAAUUUUCUCAACUUUUCUGUUUUGUCUGUUGAUGUUUGUAUUCAGCCCCAGAGAAAUUGAUGCAAGAAAACUUGAAGUAAAAAUGUGUUCUUCUUCUUGUGGAGAUGUCAAAAACAUAAGCUACCCUUUUCGCCUCAAGGGCGAUCCAGCUGGAUGCGGUCGUCCGGAGUUAGAACUUUCUUGCGAGAGCAACAAAACCAUCUUCGAAUUCAAUUCUGGAAAGUACUAUGUGAAGAGAAUUUCCCAUGAUAAAUGUACAAUCAGUGUUGUCGAUGUUAACUUAGCCUAUGGAAGCUGCAGCUUCCCAUCCACUUCUUUUUCCCCACCUCGUCUCAGUUUCAGAUAUAGUUUUUAUUAUCUUGGUGAUUCAAGGGCCUAUUAUGUGAAUUGCUCGAGUAAUAUUGUUGAUCAGGCGUAUGCGAAAGUUCCAUGUUUGAGUAACAAUCAGUCGAAUGUCUAUGUUUAUGUUGCAUAUAGUUUCUUUGAAACCACACAUCUUCCAGACUCAUGCGCCUUCAUUUCAAAGGUUCCUGUAGUACUUAAUAGGAGCGUGGACAAACUUUCUUAUGAAGACCUCCGAAAAUCGCUGGAGUCAGGGUUCGAUUGGAGCUGGAGCCUCUCAAUGUCUCGCUGUAAGCUUAUGCUUAUAUUUAUUUAUGCAUUCAAAUGCAAGGGCUUUAUUUUUGUUUUCCAAUAUUGUACGUAAUAAAGAAUUUGUGAACUAUCUCUAAGAGCAUACCGAUAUGACCCUUAAUUUCUGUUUCUUUCCACUUUUGCAACAGAUUGCAUCCACAAUGCGGGAGUAGUGGCAAAGAUAAAUUGCCUCUUAUAUUAUAUACGUAAGCAUAUCCUUAUAUAUCUUUUUGAUCAUGUGUUUUCGACGUUAAUAAAUGCGAUGGCUUCAUAUAUUCUCUAAUCUUUACUCUAUAAUUUUUUCUAAAUCAUCUCUCUGAUUAGGAUAAGGCUUUUAUUUUGUUCCCCCCUCUCUCCAAUUGCAGUUUACGGAGUAAUUUACCCAGCAAUCUUUUGGCCUUGCAUAACGUACGCAUCAGGAAUGCGGAAUUGGAUAGCUUUUCUGUUAGGUAAAAUCUCGUCUCCAGGAUCCUCUUUUUAUUGCUUUGUUUACUACUAUUUACUUUCAAAUAACGUUCUCCUUACCAGGGUUUACACUCGAUGUUCUGAAUGUUCUGAUAAUUGGUAGAUUUAUUCUUGCUCCAAUAGUCUUUCUCGUGUUCCUUAUCCACAAAUACAGAACGACAUUGCAAACAGUUGAUAAUAUUGAGAAAUUUCUGCACAACCACCAAUCGUGGAUGCCUAAAAGGUACUCUUACCCUGAGAUAAUUGCCGUGACAAACCACUUCACUCAUAAAUUAGGCCAAGGUGGCUUUGGUUCAGUUUAUAAAGGACAACUUCAUACCGGUCGCUUGAUUGCUGUUAAGAUGCUGGAGAACUCCAAGUUCAGUGCUGAGGAAUUCAUCAACGAAGUUUCAACAAUAGGUAGAAUUCACCACGUUAAUGUGGUCCAGUUAUUGGGGUUCUGUUCUGAGGGAUCCAAACGUGCACUUGUCUACGAGUUUAUGCCUAAUGGAUCACUCGAUAGGCAUAUCUUUCCCAAGGAGAGUAGAGGCCAAUCUUUUAGUUGGGAGAAACUCCACGAAGUUGCUUUAGGAACUGCUCGUGGGAUCGAGUAUUUACACGACGGAUGUGAUGUGUGCAUUCUUCAUUUCGACAUUAAGCCUCACAACAUCCUGCUAGAUCAUAAUUUCAUACCAAAGGUCUCAGAUUUCGGCCUUGCAAAGUUUCAUCCCAAGGAAAAUGAUUUUGUGUCCCUCAGUGCCACAAGAGGAACCAUAGGAUACAUAGCACCUGAGCUGAUUUCAAGGAAUUUUGGAACUGUUUCUUGCAAGUCAGAUGUUUACGGCUUUGGGAUGAUGUUGUUGGAAAUGGCUGGAGGAAGAAGGAAUUCUAAUAUGAAUGCAACUCGUUCAAGCAAAGCAUAUUUCCCAUCUUGGGUAUAUGACCAAUUAAAUAACAGAGGUGAUUUAGAGCUUCGGAAUGUGACUGAAAUCGAGUCCGUGAUUGCAAGGAAACUAUGUAUGAUUGGUUUAUGGUGUAUUCAGGUGAAGCCAGCUGAUCGCCCCUCUAUGACAAAAGUAUUGGAAAUGUUAGAAGGGAGUAUCGACGAUUUGCAAAUGCCUCCGAAACCUUUCUUCUCUUCUUCUCGACAUAUCUCCGGAAGAGAGAUUGAAUCAGAUUCUUCAACAGAGUUCUUAGUGUCUGAAUGGAUUGAGGAAUGUUCUUUCAAUGAUAGUUAUGCUUAGUUUUGGCAAUGAUAUGUGUAAAAAAGAAAUAAAUUGUCCUCGUGCUACCAGAGCUUCUAUAACAUUAUAUUGAAAAAUUUCAGUACGAUUCAUUGUUUGAUGUGAAUAUUCCAAUUUUGCUCGUAUCGACCAGAAUAUGCUGUAGGUUUGUCAUGUGAUCAUGUACAUUCAUCAAACUAUUUGAAACGCUGCUUGCUGCAUCUCUGAUUGAGCUAGAGUAUGCUUUGAACUCUCUGGUCCUGCUGAACUUAAUUUAAAGUACAAUUACCAAAGUAUAUCGUAGACACCUAGCUAUCACCACACAUCCACUUUUACUUAAUAGAUAAUAAUUUCAUCUCACAACAGUGAUUAAUUAAAAGACACAUAGUUCCCAUCAAUCCUAAACACACCCUUGGUCUCCCACUGAUAUAUCAUGGUAAGCGGAGGGUAGCUGCUAGGAAUUACCGGUUUUCUAAAGAACAUUACUUCCUGAUCUUAAAAACAUAAUUUUCUCAUUUCCUACUACAAAUUACUUUCAUAACUCUCACUAAAAUCUAUAUCACAAACAGCAAGUCCCAUCCUGUUCCUCCAUGCAUCUGAUAUUGGCAGAUACUGAAGUUGACUAGUCUCUUUGGGGCUACCAUUGACUUAGAAAAAGGAGAAAAGAGAGAAGGAAAGAACAGAAGAAAUUAAAAGAAACUCAUUUUCCAACCUUUUUCCAUGACAAAUUGACAAUCAAACUCUCCUCUCCCUUAUUACUCCAAAAGCAUAACUCAAACUCUGCUCUAACUCAAACUCCGCUCUCCCUCUCCCUCCAUGUCCCUCGUGAUGAGUUUAAUAAUCCUCUUCCUCUUCUUACCUUACACAUGUACAUUAGCCAAAGCUUCUGCAGAGGACAACAAGACAGAUAAAUAUGAAUUCUGUCAACCAACAAAUUGCAGUAAUAGUAGCCCAAGUAUCAGAUAUCCCUUCAGACUCAAAACUCAGCCAACAUCUUGUGGCCUUGAAGGGUUUGAAUUGUCAUGCUUAAGUGACAAGACAAUCUGGCAUCUUCCUUCCUCCCAGGAUUAUUAUGUCCAAGAAAUUUCUUAUCUGGACAGCAGUAUUACCAUUACAGAUGUGAAUGAGAUGGCAUGCCAGUUUCAAUUUCUUAUCUCUUUCAACCUCACACACUCCAAAUUCUUUUUUCUUCCCUUUAACAAAAGUUACGCUUUAUGUAACUGCACUUCGAAGGCUGCUGUAGAAUUAGAACGGACUUCUGUUGAACUAAUUGCACCGAUCAAUUGUCUUAGCAAUGAAAACAAUUAUGUGUAUGCCAUAUAUAGCAAAUAUUCAAUGGAGGAUAUGCCUCCAUCUUGCAGAAAAUCUGGAACAGUUGAGAUUCCUGGUAGAUUACCUCUGCAGGAUAUUGCAACGACGGCGAGGGCAAGACCAGUAGUCUUAGGAUGGGAAGCUCUUGAUGGAUGCGACGACUGCGAAAAUUCAGGGAAUUAUUGUGGGUUCAACACUACAAGCAAUUCGACAAUCUGCGUUGCCGUUAAACACCAAAAACGUAAGUAACCAAAUCUUUUCUCAGUCACCUCUCUCUACAGUGCUUGAAAGUGAAAGCAUCGUCUCUAUUUAGCUAACAAUAAAAAUAAUAAGUUGAAUUUAUUAUCAUUGUUAUAUAUGCCGGAAAAUUUAUCAGAGCAGUGUAAAUGAAAAGAAAAAAUAAUAAUAAUUAGGCUUUGCAUCAUUUUUUCAAUUGUAAAAGUGUAAUUACAAUUGCUAGAAGUUAAAAAUUAAAGAAGUCAUCUAUAUUAAUAGGGGUGGGCACUGGACAAAGGUUAGAUUUAGUUGAAUUCCGAUGGUGAGUUUUUCAAAAAAUUAACAAUUUGAACUGAACUGAAAAUCCAAUCAAUUUGGUUCGAUUUAGUUAGGGUUUUAUUUUUUUUUUUUCCAUUUGAGCUGUAAUUUCUUUUGUCUUCUCCUACUUUUUUAUUUUUUAUUUUUUAUUUUCUCUCAUUUAAAUCGCUGAUUUUUUUUUUCGAAAAAAAACUGACGAUUCGUUUUUUUGGCUGCAAAUAUAAUUUUACCCACCCCUAAUCUGUACGGCAAAUAUCAUUGCUAUUAAAGGCUACUUCCAGUAUUAGUGUCAGUUGUAGAGUGGUCGAUAAAAUGUUGCUAGCCAGGCUGAUUUGACUGUUUGAAGAAAAACUGAUACUACUCAGGACCAGAUAGAUAGUACUAACUUCUCUAUCUCGUCAAUUUAAUCUUGAAUCUUUAUAUUACAAUUAAUUUUCGUUAAUGGUGAGAGAUUGGUUAAACUCACAAUGCCUGAUAAAAGUUUAAUCUAUUAUAUUUUCUUGCGCCCUCAAUGAAUACAAAUUAAGAAGAAUUAUUAUACUAAUACUUUUUCUCUAUGAUUGUCUUUGUCAACUUUUUAUGUAAGAGCCAAUAUACGUUCAUGAUGGCAAAUUUGUUGAGAAAAAAAUUUUGUUUAAUCAAGUGACCCUCAAUAUUCACAUGGAAUAAGAGACGAGGGAAAAAAAAUCAUUUUGUGAAUGUAGAAAGGCAAAAAAAAAAAAGCAUAAUGACAGGGAUUUCUAAUUGUGAUCAUUUUGGUGCUUUCAUUGUGUACUUGAGUAAAAGUUAAAAUUUUAAAAUUGAAGUGUGUAAGGUAAAAGAGUGUGCUUACUUUGCAGUUCAAAUAAUUUCAUCUUCUGCUUAUUAGUAUUUUUUCAUUAUUUAGUUAAAUGACAACCUAAUUAUCUAUCCACCCGUGUGAAUAAGAUAUAUAAUUAUCAUUUAAGUUAUGAACAAAUACCUAUAUAUGAGAUGGUCACAUGAGAGGGACUUGUUAAAACCCAAUCAAAUAAUAUUGAGUCUUUAUGCUACCAAGUUAAGCUUGCACGGGUCCAAACUUUUAGCAUCUCAUUUUAUUGUUUGAGUUGAUUUUUUAACUAACUUUUAGCAUCUCAUUUUAUUGUAACAGAUGGUCCUGGCCCUUUAUCUAUAAGUCUAAUAUCCACAGGCACAAGCAUUGGAGGCAUCACCCUCUUUGCAUUAGUGAUAUUUCUCAUUUACAGAUCAAGAGAAUCUGAAAAAGAAAAAGAGACUCAACUGAAGGUGGAGAAGUUCCUCGAAAACUACAGGACCGUCAAUCCCACCAGAUAUACUUACAAAGAACUGAAGAAAAUAACAAGCAGAUUUAAGCACAGGCUCGGUCAGGGAGGUUACGGAAGCGUGUUCAGAGGAAAACUCUUCAACGGAAUUCCAGUUGCUGUCAAGAUGUUGGAACAUUUGAAAGGAAAUGGACAAGAGUUCAUCAAUGAAGUGGCCACAAUUGGCAGGAUUCACCACUUCCACAUUGUUCGGCUUCUGGGAUUUUGCUCUGAAGGAAACAGGCGUGCUCUUAUUUACGAGUUUAUGCCCAAUGGAUCACUUGAGAAAUUCAUCUUCUCAAAGACAAAUAGCUCAAGUCAUCGUCAAUUGAGUUGGGAGAAGCUGAGGAAGAUUGCAUUUGGCGUUGCCCGUGGAGUGGAGUACUUACACCAAGGAUGCAACCAAAGGAUCCUGCACUUCGAUAUCAAGCCUCACAAUAUAUUAUUAGACCAUAAUUUUCAUCCGAAGAUUUCAGAUUUUGGACUGGCUAAGUUGUGCUCGAAGGACAUAAGCAUUGUAUCUCUGACAGCUGCCAGAGGCACUUCUGGCUACAUUGCACCUGAACUUUUCUCCAGGAAUUUUGGUGAGAUCUCUUACAAGUCUGAUGUUUACAGUUAUGGAAUGAUGCUGUUAGAGAUGGUCGGAUGCAGAAAAAAUAACGAUCCUGCGGUUGAAAUUCAGAG